Molecule: ribosomal RNA, 434 nt
Filed under: uncultured Clostridium sp.
Lineage: Bacteria; Bacillati; Bacillota; Clostridia; Eubacteriales; Clostridiaceae
Description: partial 16S ribosomal RNA
Rfam family: Bacterial small subunit ribosomal RNA
Source: RNAcentral
ACGGAAGGCAGCAGUGGGGGAUAUUGCACAAUGGGGGGAACCCUGAUGCAGCGACGCCGCGUGAGGGAAGAAGGUUUUCGGAUUGUAAACCUCUGUCUAUGGGGACGAUAAUGACGGUACCCAAGGAGGAAGCUCCGGCUAACUACGUGCCAGCAGCCGCGGUAAUACGUAGGGAGCGAGUGUUGUCCGGAAUUACUGGGUGUAAAGGGAGCGUAGGCGGGUUUGUAAGUUAAAUGUGAAAUGUAUGGGCUCAACCCAUAAACUGCGUUUAAAACUACAGAUCUUGAGAGGAGUAGAGGCAGGCGGAAUUCCUAGUGUAGCGGUGAAAUGCGUAGAUAUUAGGAAGAACACCGGUGGCGAAGGCGGCCUGCUGGGCUCCAACUGACGCUGAGGCUCGAAAGCGUGGGUAGCAAACAGGAUUAGAUACCCUGGUA